Hibiscus syriacus is the source of this 362-nucleotide long non-coding RNA. RefSeq lists it as uncharacterized. Lineage: Eukaryota; Viridiplantae; Streptophyta; Magnoliopsida; Malvales; Malvaceae. The record is from RefSeq and is a predicted model, not a curated record. The transcript is spliced from 3 exons.
CCAUAGCUACAACUUGUUAUACUGAUCAUUGUCAUCAUGUUCAGUAUGGUCUUAUGCUUGUGUUUUCUUCUUUUCUUCUGCAGAGUCGGUAUUAUAGGUCUCCCAAAGUUCUUCUUGGGUAUCAAUAUAUGACAGAUAUAGACAUGUGGUCCUUUGGCUGCAUAGUUGCCGAACUCUUUUUAGGGCUGCCGUUAUUCCCAGGUGCUUCAGAAUUUGAUCUUCUAAGGCGAAUGAUUGGAAUACUUGGAGGGAGCUAAAGAAACCGUUGAUUGGAAAAGAGUAUUUCAGUCAUAAGAACCUGGAAGCAAUUGUUACAAACUAUCCUUACAGAAAGAACUUGCCUAAAGAAGAUAUCAUUAAAG